RNAcentral lists this ribosomal RNA (532 nucleotides) under Fusarium culmorum. RNAcentral describes it as "eukaryotic LSU rRNA". The stretch from base 180 to 333 matches the Rfam family "5.8S ribosomal RNA". Lineage: Eukaryota; Fungi; Ascomycota; Sordariomycetes; Hypocreales; Nectriaceae. The record is from RNAcentral.
CUCCGUUGGUGAACCAGCGGAGGGAUCAUUACCGAGUUUACAACUCCCAAACCCCUGUGAACAUACCUUAUGUUGCCUCGGCGGAUCAGCCCGCGCCCCGUAAAAAGGGACGGCCCGCCGCAGGAACCCUAAACUCUGUUUUUAGUGGAACUUCUGAGUAUAAAAAACAAAUAAAUCAAAACUUUCAACAACGGAUCUCUUGGUUCUGGCAUCGAUGAAGAACGCAGCAAAAUGCGAUAAGUAAUGUGAAUUGCAGAAUUCAGUGAAUCAUCGAAUCUUUGAACGCACAUUGCGCCCGCCAGUAUUCUGGCGGGCAUGCCUGUUCGAGCGUCAUUUCAACCCUCAAGCCCAGCUUGGUGUUGGGAGCUGCAGUCCUGCUGCACUCCCCAAAUACAUUGGCGGUCACGUCGAGCUUCCAUAGCGUAGUAAUUUACACAUCGUUACUGGUAAUCGUCGCGGCCACGCCGUUAAACCCCAACUUCUGAAUGUUGACCUCGGAUCAGGUAGGAAUACCCGCUGAACUUAAGCAUAU